Molecule: ribosomal RNA, 479 nt
Filed under: uncultured bacterium
Lineage: Bacteria
Description: bacterial SSU rRNA
Rfam family: Bacterial small subunit ribosomal RNA
Source: RNAcentral
AAUCAACGCUGGCGGCGUGCCUAACACAUGCAAGUCGAACGAGAAAGUGGAGCAAUCCAUGAGUAAAGUGGCGACCGGGUGAGUAACACGUGACCAAUCUACCCUUGAGUGGGGGAUAACCUCGGGAAACCGGGGCUAAUACCGCAUAACAUCUUCGGAUCGGAAGAACUGGAGAUCAAAGGAGCAAUUCGCUUAAGGAGGAGGUCGCGGCUGAUUAGCUAGUUGGCGGGGAAUGGCCCACCAAGGCUUAGAUCGGUAGCCGGCCUGAGAGGGCGCACGGCCACACUGGAGCUGAAACACGGUCCAGACUCCUACGGGAGGCAGCAGUGGGGAAUUUUGCGCAAUGGGGGAAACCCUGACGCAGCAACGCCGCGUGGAGGAUGAAGUCCCUUGGGACGUAAACUCCUUUCGACCCGGACGAUAAUGACGGUACGGGUGGAAGAAGCCCCGGCUAACUUCGUGCCAGCAGCCGCCGUAAG